This 264-nucleotide ribosomal RNA is filed under the name uncultured bacterium. Its description in RNAcentral is "partial 16S ribosomal RNA". It matches the Rfam family "Bacterial small subunit ribosomal RNA", at positions 90 to 354 of the family's 1533-position model. The record is from RNAcentral.
UUCGAGUGGCGGACGGGUGAGUAACGCGUGGGUAACCUGCCUUACACAGGGGGAUAACACCUGGAAACAGGUGCUAAUACCGCAUAAGCGCACAGGGCCGCAUGGCCCGGUGUGAAAAACUCCGGUGGUGUAAGAUGGACCCGCGUCUGAUUAGCUUGUUGGCGGGGUAGAGGCCCACCAAGGCGACGAUCAGUAGCCGGCCUGAGAGGGUGGACGGCCACAUUGGGACUGAGACACGGUCCAAACUCCUACGGAAGGCAGCAG